CUCGUUUACUGCUGUUUCUUUUAUACAAUUGUAGUGUUGUUUCACAAAUUCCAACCCUAACAUUCAAUCCUACUUACACAUGACCCAAUUCCAUUUAGCCCAACUAACCCAGCCUACUCUCUACAACCCAGGCCCAUUCCCCAAAUACUAACCCUAGCUAGCCCAUCUCUAUAACAGGAUCUAAACCCCUUCCCAUCUGGCCCAGUCCAAAAUAUCCGACCAAACCCGAUUAUAACCAAUCCAUUAACAUCAAAUACCCCACAGUUUCACCCGAUUUCUCUCUCACAACCACUCUCUUGCUGCCGCCGCCGCUAAUCACCAUCACGCCACCACUUUAUUAUCUAUUGUACCCAGGCAUCCAGAGCACUACCACUUCAUCGCCAUAGGCCGCCACCACCACCAACCCAAGAUCACACACUUCCACACAGUUACUACACUCAUAUAUUUCCUCAUCCAUCUCAACAAUCUAAAAGUCACAGUCACCACACUCAGUUUUACGUCCACAUCAGAACCAGCACAAGUUACAGUCAACAUGGGCUAAAACCAUUGGACAUGAAGGGAAGAACAGAAUCAUAGGGGGCACAUAAAUUGGCAAUUCAGAUCAAUCGGCAUACAAAUAAUCAAAACUAAACAAUAGGGAAUCCUUGAUCUCUAUUUAGUAUUGAUUUAUACUAUUGCUUCAUUUUUAAAAUUGCAUCAAUUAAAAUCUUGUGCUGCUGUUAUCGUGAUAAUUUUAGCCUUAAACCCCACUUAAUCGAAACCAUUAAUCGAAUUGAUACCAGUGACCGAAUUGACUUCCAUUGUUCCCCACUUAAAUUGAUUGGAGAAUUUGACCAGUGUGUUGACCCUUGCUUUGCCAUUUUACAUGUACCAGCAGUAUUAGCUUGUUUUGGAUUUAAUUAAUCCCAAUAUUUAAAAUUAAAUAAAAAAAUUGGUACAAGUUAUUUUCCAUUGCUUGCACAUAUUGUUCACUGAUCUCAUCAUAGCACGUCAUUUAGCUGGUAUUACAUUGCAUGUAGUUGCGUAGUAGUCGUCUUAUCGUCUCUAUUUCUAAUACAUUGACCAAUUUGAUGCACUCACUAGACAAUUAGUGCAACUUGCCACUAGCCUAUUGACUGUCCAAUCAGAUAUAACUGCUACUCGUAAGGAGAGAAAGAACCUAGAGCAAUUUUAAGCAAACCCCUCGUUUGACUGACACUAAUUCUGAAGCGUCUCAUAAUAGACAAUAUCAUGGUGGACAAAGUGAUCAAAAAUAUUUUCGAACCGAUCGUGGGAAUAGGGAUCAGGUUCGUGAGCGAGAAUAAG
RNAcentral lists this long non-coding RNA (1305 nucleotides) under Olea europaea subsp. europaea. Lineage: Eukaryota; Viridiplantae; Streptophyta; Magnoliopsida; Lamiales; Oleaceae. The record is from RNAcentral.